ACGAACGCUGGCGGCGUGCUUAACACAUGCCAGUCGAACGGAAAGGCCCUGCUUGCAGGGUACUCGAGUAGCGAACGGGUGAGUAACACGUGGGUGAUCUGCCCUGCACUUCGGGAUAAGCCUGGGAAACUGGGUCUAAUACCGGAUAGGAGCCAUUUUUAGUGUGAUGGUUGGAAAGUUUUUUCGGUGUAGGAUGAGCUCGCGGCCUAUCAGCUUGUUGGUGGGGUAAUGGCCUACCAAGGCGGCGACGGGUAGCCGGCCUGAGAGGGUGGACGGCCACAUUGGGACUGAGAUACGGCCCAGACUCCUACGGGAGGCAGCAGUGGGGAAUAUUGCACAAUGGGCGCAAGCCUGAUGCAGCGACGCCGCGUGGGGGAUGACGGCCUUCGGGUUGUAAACUCCUUUCGCUAGGGACGAAGCUUUUUGUGACGGUACCUAGAUAAGAAGCACCGGCUAACUACGUG
This 464-nucleotide ribosomal RNA is filed under the name uncultured bacterium. RNAcentral's name for it is "partial 16S ribosomal RNA". It matches the Rfam family "Bacterial small subunit ribosomal RNA", at positions 29 to 507 of the family's 1533-position model. The record is from RNAcentral.